Molecule: long non-coding RNA, 624 nt
Filed under: Malus domestica (apple)
Lineage: Eukaryota; Viridiplantae; Streptophyta; Magnoliopsida; Rosales; Rosaceae
Description: long non-coding RNA (MDOM_LNC011150)
Source: RNAcentral
UUUGGCCGUGGGCGGAACAAAUUUUAGGAAACAUUUUUGGAAAUUGGGGGAGAAAAGGGAGGGACAUGCCAAAACCCUAAUUAAUUUGGAAAAAAAGCCAAACUGCUUAAAUUGCAUAAAAACAAGAGUUUGGGAAUUGUGGGAAAAAGAAGAGGGAAGCCAAAUUUAUUUUUGGGAAACGGCAAAACACUAAAUUCUACAAACAUUUUUUUUUAAAUAUAAAAUAAUAUUGUUCCAUACCAUUCAUUUAAGGAAAAAAGCCAAAACCCUGAACAUUAUCAAAAAUUAAUAUUUGCAGUAUGGAAAAUUAAUUUGAAUGAUCUAAUCGUCAAACUUGUUUCUAUAUGCUUCAAGAUCACAUACAUAAAAAAUUGCAAAAAACAGACAUUCAGAUAUUAGGUAACGAGACGAGACCUUUUGAUGGUUAUAAACGCAAACUCACGAUUUAACUGUGAUCUUAACUCCGAUUUUGAUGAUUUUUUACAAAUACACUCCUCAGCCCUAUAAGACUAUGAUGAAUGAAUUUGAUCAUCAAUUUAAAAUAUUUGCAUUAAUGCUUACCACAAAUUAUUAUGUUCAACUUAAUGUAAGUAUAGAAUAAACUCCAAGUGUUUUUUGAAUCUG